RNAcentral lists this small RNA (67 nucleotides) under Psychrobacillus sp. OK032. RNAcentral describes it as "Bacillaceae-1 RNA". It matches the Rfam family "Bacillaceae-1 RNA". The record is from RNAcentral. Lineage: Bacteria; Bacillati; Bacillota; Bacilli; Caryophanales; Bacillaceae.
UUUCAAGGAACUCUGGCUAGGAGCGCCGCGUCCUGCGGCAACGCCUGAGUGACCAACAUCCUGUUGG